This 2432-nucleotide long non-coding RNA is filed under the name Helianthus annuus (common sunflower). Its description in RNAcentral is "hypothetical non coding rna". Lineage: Eukaryota; Viridiplantae; Streptophyta; Magnoliopsida; Asterales; Asteraceae. The record is from RNAcentral.
GCUUCGAGCGCCCUUUCCCCUUCUCCGCACUCAAGUUGCUGUCUUUCCUAUGGCUUGGACCCUUUCCGUGCCUCUGAGGAAAGAUUCUCGCUACUCAAUUUCUUGAGUAAGUGAAGUUCUCCUAUCAGCUUAAAAAGGGCUUUCUCAGGUCGACCUUUCUUUAGGUUAAGUGGCGUGUAGCUAAUCUCGCUAAUAUCUCAGAUCGGGGGACGACUCUGUCUCCGCUUCUGCUCGUGCACUCGUUAAAGCAAACUCAUGGCCUAGUUCGUGAAUGAGCCUACAAGUGAUGCGGCGCUUUCAAAAUCCCGUGACUCUCAGUCAUCUAUCUUCUUUUCACCUGAAAAUGUUGGAUUGGGGGAAGGCUUUCCUUCUUUGUUGACUUCAACUGAUACCGGCCGAUAGCCCAAUCUCUUAGUCUCGGAACUAAUUGUCUAUCUAGUAGCCACUCCUUGCUUUGAUGAGUUAAGUGAAAUGAAAGUCGAUUUUGAUCCUAUAUCGCAGCAUCAUGACUCGUCAAUGAAGCCGACAUGGGGCUAGAGUCAUCACAUCAAGUAUUGGGCACGUGGGUGAGUGAACUCUAGUUGUGCUUGAGUUGCGAUCCGCUCCGGUCAAGUCGAACCUUGCCAAUUAGCUUCUGGAGAUCGGGUUCUCACUACCAGUCCAAGUGGGAAUUCUUCUAAGAAAACCCCUUCUUCUAGUCUUUAUCUUGAAUCUUUCUUAUUGUCUUUCCCUUUCAUCUUGAUAUCAACUCUGACAUUAACAAAGCAUCGGGCGGGGAAGCUUUCAAUAUUAUGAUGAAAGAGACUAUCGGAGAAGGUCCCACUCUGCUUGCGUCCGCUAGCUGACGACGUGUGUAACGCAUGCUCCUGUUCCGCGGUUGGUGUUAUAUAUAGAAGUUCUUGGUUGAGAGUAUCGGGUCUUCAAUUAGGGCUGAUCUCCUCAACGCAUCCGCUGUUCAAUCAUCUGCUGCUGAUGGUCUUGUUGUCGCAGACGGUCUUCUGUUGGCAAUUGAAUCAACUCUUACUGCUCGAGUAGACGGUCUUCUUGGUGAGUGAAUCAUCUUCAUCCUAUAAUAAAUAAGGACAUUUACACCACCUAUUACAGGUCAGGUCCUAAAGCUAUAGUGUAAUUCCCUGUGACUAUUGACAGGAGAUCCUUCUAUGCUUUCACCGAUAAUCACAUCCAACUACAUCCAGGAAUCGCAUCUGCCAGAUGUGGUUUCGGGACCAGGCGUGUAACCUCGAUAGCAUGUGCCCUAGCCACCCAAGCCUAUUAGUCGCUUAGAUAAAGAAGGAAGCCCUUCGGGAGCUAUUCUUUCCCUGAUAUUGGCAGGACUUACUAGCCCCUAGCUGUUUCAAUGGUAGGAGCAGGGGAUUGAAGAGGGACAUCCGUGCUAAGAAGAAGGGACUGCAGCCCCAAGGUGUAGCAUCAGUUCCAGACAACCGCUCAAGUUCAAGUAAAGGCUUCUGUCCUAGGAAGAAAGGCUCGAAAGCCUAAAGCUAUGAUUUAUACUUGCUCUCUCCCUGAAGUGGAUGUGGAAAAGCGGGCGCUAAUGCAAGGAAAGGAGGUGUUGUUCGUCCACUUCUGCUCCAGCUGAGAAAUUACCUUGUAGUCAGAGGAAACUCAAACGUAAGCUAGAACCGGAGAAGAGAAGAUACUUUAGGUUUAGUCCUAUUGCCUGGAAGUAGAGGGGAGUUCACUCACAGCCGGGGCUGCUUCAUUCUCCUAAGCCUCAGAAUAGACACCUUGCUGAAGCCCUAGGAGGGGAAGGAGUUAGUCUUCUAGUUUAUCCCAGACUUAUUGGAAAUGGAAAGCCAGGGGAAUGCUACCAACUCCCUUUACUCCCACGUUGGAAAGCAUAUGAACUUGACUGAACUGAAUGACCAGCGGGGUAAAAGAAGAAGGGAUAAGAUAAGACAGUAGCACCCACCACUCUGUCAGUAGAAGGUUAUCCAGUCGAUCUUCGUAAGUAAGUAAGUAACACUUUCAUCGAUGAUUCCUCUAAUCCUCUAAAGGCUUAGAAGGGAGCUGAACCGUUUAUCUCUAUGAAAUUCUGGACGCCUCACUUCGCUCGCCUCCCUUCCGGUCGCCUCAGCUUCUGAAUCCAAUCUUGAACGUUCAGUUAGGAAUUAUCAUUGCCCGGUUACAGGACUAGGGCCCUACUAGCCUCAUCGGCCGAUGUCUGCCGUCUCGCGAUUCUUGCGUUUAUGGACCGAAGGAAAAUAACUCCAAUCCUUCUUCAGGGCAACAUGCUAUAUUAUAUGAUAUAUCUUGGGAGUUGAAGGUCGCAGUCCCUUUCCCUCAGGCGAGUUCCUCACUUAACUUAAAAGAGGAAGGAGUCUUUGCGAAUUCAGUAGCUAUGCUAUUUAAUACACACCUGACUUCUACCUUCGUGUGUCAAUGGAUCUUUCACAGACUCCCUAUUUAUUAUG